GUGAAUCAUCGAAUUUUUGAACGCAAAUUGCGCUUUCUGGUAUUCCGGGGAGUAUGCCUGUUUGAGGGUCAGUUAAAUAAAAAUCGGAGUUGUUUCUGCGGUUCGUGAUGACGCGUCGGGAGGGAGUUGGCUUGCCUUCAAUUGAGUGGGUUAAAAUUUUACGUGAUUGUCGAACGUAUUUAAAGUUGUUACAUACGAUUGGGAUAUCAAAUACUUUAGUAGGUUCGGUCGUCCGCAUGUUGGGCGCCUAUAAUUUUUCAUUAAGUGACCUCAAAUCAUGU
RNAcentral lists this unclassified non-coding RNA (281 nucleotides) under Glomus sp. RNAcentral describes it as "partial contains 5.8S ribosomal RNA and internal transcribed spacer 2". The stretch from base 1 to 71 matches the Rfam family "5.8S ribosomal RNA", at positions 84 to 154 of the family's 154-position model. Lineage: Eukaryota; Fungi; Glomeromycota; Glomeromycetes; Glomerales; Glomeraceae. The record is from RNAcentral.